UUAACGUAUAUUUAUUUUAUUUGAUUACAUUCUAAACAUUUUAACGAUUUAUGAAAUCAAAAAUAAUUUUAGAAUUUUAUGUUGAAAAGAAUUUGAAUUACGAAAAUACGUUUUUACUUAGAAAACAAUCAUAAUCGGUUUCGAAUUCAAACAUAAACUCAAUUAUAAUCCUAGCCCAAAUAACAAAGCCCAAAAUAAAUAACCCCAAAUAAACCCAUAACCCUUUCUCCUAUUCAACUUCACGUGAAACAAAAAUAAAAAGAGAAACAAAAGAAAACUCUCAAACCCUUGCUUCACCAUUCACGUGAAAACGCACAAGACUCUCUGCUUCAGCCACCGCCGCUCCUCCUUGCUGCUAUCCCUCACGCCGCCGUUCCUCUCUCCCGCCUUCACUUUCGUUGCUGCAGCCUCCCUCGCCGUCGGACCACCAUCACGCCACUGUUUCGUUCGCAGCAACCACCACCGCGCCACCAGCCGCGCCCAUAACGAUUGUUCGCCGCCGCACCACCAACAACCAUCGCGCGGACGCUGACACCCUCCGCCGUACUCCUCCGACCAGCGUCGCCGCCCACUGUUGCCGCGCCGCCCUGCCUGCCGGCCAGCAGCUUCCCUCUCCUCUCUUUUUUG
This is a long non-coding RNA of Spinacia oleracea (spinach), 627 nucleotides long. RefSeq lists it as uncharacterized. The transcript has 3 exons. NCBI's taxonomy places the organism in Eukaryota, Viridiplantae, Streptophyta, Magnoliopsida, Caryophyllales, Amaranthaceae. The record is from RefSeq and is a predicted model, not a curated record.